Molecule: ribosomal RNA, 700 nt
Filed under: uncultured bacterium
Lineage: Bacteria
Description: bacterial SSU rRNA
Rfam family: Bacterial small subunit ribosomal RNA
Source: RNAcentral
UAAACGGUGGGUACUAGGUGUGGGGGACAUUCCACGUUCUCUGUGCCGUAGCUAACGCAUUAAGUACCCCGCCUGGGGAGUACGGCCGCAAGGCUAAAACUCAAAGGAAUUGACGGGGCCCCGCACAAGCGGCGGAGCAUGCGGAUUAAUUCGAUGCAACGCGAAGAACCUUACCUGGGUUUGACAUAUAUCGGAAACGUUCAGAGAUGGGCGCCCCGUAAGGUCGGUAUACAGGUGGUGCAUGGCUGUCGUCAGCUCGUGUCGUGAGAUGUUGGGUUAAGUCCCGCAACGAGCGCAACCCUCGUCCAAUGUUGCCAGCGGGUUAUGCCGGGGACUCAUUGGAGACCGCCGGGGUCAACUCGGAGGAAGGUGGGGAUGACGUCAAGUCAUCAUGCCCCUUAUGUCCAGGGCUUCACGCAUGCUACAAUGGCUGGUACAGAGGGUUGCGAUGCCGNNNGGUGGAGCGAAUCCCUUAAAGCCAGUCUCAGUUCGGAUUGGGGUCUGCAACUCGACCCCAUGAAGUCGGAGUCGCUAGUAACCGCAGAUCAGCAUUGCUGCGGUGAAUACGUUCCCGGGCCUUGUACACACCGCCCGUCAAGUCAUGAAAGUCGGUAACACCCGAAGCCGGUGNNNNNNCCUUUUUGGGGGGAGCUGUCUAAGGUGGGAUCGGUGAUUAGGAGUAAGUCGUAACAAGGUAGCC